UACGUAGGGGGCGAGCGUUGUUCGGAAUUACUGGGCGUAAAGGGCUCGUAGGCGGCCAACUAAGUCAGACGUGAAAUCCCUCGGCUUAACCGGGGAACUGCGUCUGAUACUGGAUGGCUUGAAUCCGGGAGAGGGAUGCAGAAUUCCAGGUGUAGCGGUGAAAUGCGUAGAUAUCUGGAGGAAUACCGGUGGCGAAGGCGGCAUCCUGGACCGGCAUUGACGCUGAGGAGCGAAAGCCAGGGGAGCAAACGGG
This 253-nucleotide ribosomal RNA is filed under the name uncultured bacterium. RNAcentral's name for it is "partial 16S ribosomal RNA". It matches the Rfam family "Bacterial small subunit ribosomal RNA", at positions 524 to 776 of the family's 1533-position model. The record is from RNAcentral.